CGGCAAGACGGAAAGACCCCGUGAACCUUUACUAUAGCUUGACACUGAACAUUGAGCCUUGAUGUGUAGGAUAGGUGGGAGGCUUUGAAGCGUGGACGCCAGUCUGCGUGGAGCCAACCUUGAAAUACCACCCUUUAAUGUUUGAUGUUCUAACGUUGGCCCCUCACCGGGGUUGCGGACAGUGUCUGGUGGGUAGUUUGACUGGGGCGGUCUCCUCCCAAAGCGUAACGGAGGAGCACGAAGGUUAGCUAAUCCUGGUCGGACAUCAGGAGGUUAGUGCAAUGGCAUAAGCUAGCUUGACUG
Molecule: ribosomal RNA, 303 nt
Filed under: Klebsiella pneumoniae
Lineage: Bacteria; Pseudomonadati; Pseudomonadota; Gammaproteobacteria; Enterobacterales; Enterobacteriaceae
Description: bacterial LSU rRNA
Rfam family: Bacterial large subunit ribosomal RNA
Source: RNAcentral